Molecule: long non-coding RNA, 1666 nt
Filed under: Hordeum vulgare
Lineage: Eukaryota; Viridiplantae; Streptophyta; Magnoliopsida; Poales; Poaceae
Description: long non-coding RNA (HVUL_LNC019102)
Source: RNAcentral
CAGUACCACAACAUAAAAAAAAAGAUAAUAUUUUUGCAUUCAUCCAUUUGAACAUAGUUUCGAUAACUCAUAGUGCUCAAAAUAAACAGUUUAAAUUACAAAUGUAUUGAGGCAGACUUGUCUCAUCUCGCGUGCUGCUACAUAAACAAAGUUAGGACUCGUAAUUGUUCAAUCAUUGUUCAUUUGGACAUAAAGUAUUUUAGGAAGAUUAAUCAUCGGCAAUUGUUCAAGCAGUGAAGCAGCUUCAGGGCAGAAGAAAAAUACUCCCUCCGUAAGAUCUGACUCAAAGUUUUGACAAUCUUUGGAGUAGCUUCCUGUGCAAAUAAUAGAUUACAAUGUCACAAUCUGAUAUCACAAUUUAUCGUACCACAAAACCGUAUGGCAAACAUGAACAGAGAUGUAUGCAUUUUACAAUACAGAAGAUUCAAAUCAUUCUCCCCAUGUUUUUAGUAGAAAUCUUAUCUCUAUCAUGUUUACAUACUCUUUGGAAACAAAGAAGAAACUCAAGCCUUACAGUGAGUUAAACUGUAGAAGGGACAUGAUUCAAACAAGCAUCUGGCAAAAUUAUGAAUGUGCUGGGAAACUAGUAUAAGAAAUGUUUAAGGCAUUUCAAAACGUACAGGAUUCAAACAAGCAUCUGGCAAGACCAAUCCAGCCUUCAGGAGGGUUAACAGAGAAACAUUUUCAAAGGCACGAGAUCAAGCAAGCAUGUACCGAGACCAUUUUCUUUCUUUUCAACCACCAUAUAUAUUGAGAUUCUUAAAACAGCCACUUCCAUGAGAAUGCUAGCUCAAUAUCCUCAAGCAGGUCAUAACCCGAGAUAACCUUCCUGCCUCCAAAACAAGUAUCAUAUAUAGCAUGAUUAUGGUACUGCCUCUCCAAAGCAGCCAUCCCAGAAGUACAUGGAACAACAAUACUCCCCCUCUAUAGACACAUGUUCGACUCAUCACGCUCAACUAUCUUCGGUGGAAAUGAACCCCUCCGCCAACUCUCCCGGCUCCAGAAAGGUAAGUCCCCAUUGCCAUAACCAAAACUACCAUCAAAGCUCAUCCUUUCCCACUAUACAUGCUCACACAUAGAAGAACACAAACACACAACAAAAGGAGUACCCACAGGCGCCCCUUAUAUAGCAACACAACCCACAAAAAAACAUAGCAAGCCUCCCACGUCAUACAUAUAGCUGCACGAAACUCUCCACGUACAAAUCGCACAGACAACUCACCUACCCACACUAUACCUACAUCAAGAUAUACUAUUACAAACAACCAAAACACACAAGAAACCAACCAUACAUGAACACACCUGUGACCAAAAUGAAAAAAAAAUGCCAAUACAAUGUUCGUAUCUACACAGGCCACCACCUAAGGUACUUGCUACAGAACAAACACCAAUACAUAUAGGCAUGCACAGCUAGAACGAGAAAAAUACAACAUAAGCAAUUAAGCCAAGACCCUACGAGCUCCAAAACACAAAGAUGUCCUUACUAAUAACUCCACCACAAAACAAUAUAAAAAACACUUAUCACCUCAUUCACUGUCAAAAAACCUCAACGACGGGCGGGACAUUAUAACACCAAUAGUGAUCAUUUCGGCCAAGUAGUAGUAUUUCAAUAUAACCCAGGAUGCCAACUCAACGGAAAAUAAAAGAAGAAGAAGAAGAAUACAAC